AGAUGAUUCUAUAUCUACCUGAGAGAAGGCUGUGGGAUGGAAUCUGGAUUAGCAGUGCACGUAAGCGCGCACUAUGACCCGACGUCAGGACAACAGUGCAGCGCGCAGAGAUGAAGGAGCUGUGGAGCCACAUCCGUACUGGAGACAAAUGUUGAGGACUCUCGAAGUGGAGAACCCAUGGAGUUGAAGAAUAUGAAUGAGGCAUUUAGAUUUAAUCUCCCCUGGAGUUAGC
This is a long non-coding RNA of Bufo bufo (common toad), 232 nucleotides long. RefSeq lists it as uncharacterized. The record is from RefSeq and is a predicted model, not a curated record. Lineage: Eukaryota; Metazoa; Chordata; Amphibia; Anura; Bufonidae. The transcript has 3 exons.